UACGUAGGUGGCAAGCGUUGUCCGGAUUUAUUGGGUUUAAAGGGUGCGUAGGCGGUUCUAUAAGUCAGUGGUGAAAUACGGCAGCUCAACUGUCGAGGUGCCAUUGAUACUGUAGAACUUGAGUACAGACGAGGUAGGCGGGAUUGACGGUGUAGCGGUGAAAUGCGUAGAUAUCGGGAGGAAUACCAAUGGCGAAGGCAAGCUUCUGGGCCGUUACUGACGCUGAGCUGCGAAAGCUAGGGGAGCAAACAGG
RNAcentral lists this ribosomal RNA (253 nucleotides) under uncultured prokaryote. Its description in RNAcentral is "partial 16S ribosomal RNA". It matches the Rfam family "Bacterial small subunit ribosomal RNA", at positions 524 to 776 of the family's 1533-position model. The record is from RNAcentral.